RNAcentral lists this ribosomal RNA (424 nucleotides) under Fusobacteriota bacterium. RNAcentral's name for it is "Fusobacteria bacterium partial 16S ribosomal RNA". It matches the Rfam family "Bacterial small subunit ribosomal RNA", at positions 355 to 776 of the family's 1533-position model. Lineage: Bacteria; Fusobacteriati; Fusobacteriota. The record is from RNAcentral.
UGAGGAAUAUUGGUCAAUGGUCGAGAGACUGAACCAGCCAAGUCGCGUGAAGGAUGACUGCCCUAUGGGUUGUAAACUUCUUUUACAAGGGAAUAAAAUGAGAUACGUGUAUUUUAUUGCAUGUAGCUUGGGAAUAAGCAUCGGCUAACUCCGUGCCAGCAGCCGCGGUAAUACGGAGGAUGCGAGCGUUAUCCGGAUUUAUUGGGUUUAAAGGGUGCGUAGGUGGGCUGUUAAGUCAGCGGUGAAAGUUUGUCGCUUAACGAUAAAAUUGCCGUUGAAACUGGUAGUCUUGAGUAUAGAUGAAGUAGGCGGAAUGCGUGGUGUAGCGGUGAAAUGCAUAGAGAUCACGCAGAACUCCGAUUGCGAAGGCAGCUUACUAAGGUAUAACUGACACUGAAGCACGAAAGCGUGGGUAUCAAACAGG